CCUACGGCGAGCUGCAGUGGGGAAUAUUGCACAAUGGGGGGAACCCUGAUGCAGCAACGCCGCGUGGGUGAAGAAGUACUCCGGUAUGUAAAGCCCUGUCAGCAGGGAAGAAAAUGACGGUACCUGACCAAGAAUCCCCGGCUAACUACGUGCCAGCAGCCGCGGUAAUCAGUAGGGGGCAAGCGUUAUCCGGGUUGACUGGAUGGAAAGGGAGCGAAGACGGGAAGGUAAGUCUGGAGUGAAAGCCCGUGGCCCCACCACGUGACUGCUUUGGAAACUGUGUUGCUGGAGUGCAGGAGGGGUAAGCGGAAGUGCGAGUGUAGCGGUGAAAUGCGUAGAUAUUAGGAGGAACACCGGUGGCGAAGGCGGCUUACUGGACUGUAACUGACGUUGAGGCUCGAAGGCGUGGGGAGCAAACAGGAUUAGAUACCCCAGUAGUC
Molecule: ribosomal RNA, 440 nt
Filed under: uncultured bacterium
Lineage: Bacteria
Description: partial 16S ribosomal RNA
Rfam family: Bacterial small subunit ribosomal RNA
Source: RNAcentral